Molecule: transfer RNA, 66 nt
Filed under: Marmota monax (woodchuck)
Lineage: Eukaryota; Metazoa; Chordata; Mammalia; Rodentia; Sciuridae
Description: tRNA.Ala
Source: RNAcentral
GGAGGUGGCUCAAGUGGUAGCGCGCUCCCUGGCAUGCGUGCGGCCUGGGUUCGAUCCACAGCACCA